GGGGAUGUACCUCAGUGGUAGAGCGCAUGCUUUGCAUGUAUGAGGCCUAGGGUUUGAUCCCCUGCAUCUCCA
RNAcentral lists this transfer RNA (72 nucleotides) under Anguilla anguilla (European eel). It matches the Rfam family "tRNA". From Rfam's summary of the family: Transfer RNA (tRNA) molecules are approximately 80 nucleotides in length. Their secondary structure includes four short double-helical elements and three loops (D, anti-codon, and T loops). The record is from Rfam by way of RNAcentral. Lineage: Eukaryota; Metazoa; Chordata; Actinopteri; Anguilliformes; Anguillidae.